AAGCGCUUGUGACCAGACUUGGUCCCGGGGGAUCAGCCGGCGGUCUUCCGCCGGCGCACUUCACCGGGCUUCCAGGCCAGCAUCAGUUCGCCCCGGGGGAUAAAGGCGGCGGGAAUGUAGCUCCACCGGGAGUGUUAUAGCCCGCCGCGCAAUACCCUGGGGCGGACUGAGGUUCGCGCGUCCCCGCAAGGAUGCUGGCGUAAUGGUCAUCAGCGA
RNAcentral lists this ribosomal RNA (216 nucleotides) under Clavicipitaceae sp. RNAcentral describes it as "partial large subunit ribosomal RNA". The record is from RNAcentral. Lineage: Eukaryota; Fungi; Ascomycota; Sordariomycetes; Hypocreales; Clavicipitaceae.